UUUUAGCCCCGAUUGUAAUGAAAAUCCUUUUUUGAAAAAAAAGAUUGCAAUGGAAAGCGGGAAAUAGC
Molecule: small RNA, 68 nt
Filed under: Chryseobacterium gambrini
Lineage: Bacteria; Pseudomonadati; Bacteroidota; Flavobacteriia; Flavobacteriales; Weeksellaceae
Description: Flavo-1 RNA
Rfam family: Flavo-1 RNA
Source: RNAcentral